UACGGGGGGGCAAGCGUUGUUCGGAAUUACUGGGCGUAAAGGGCGCGUAGGCGGUCAGCACAAGUCAGUUGUGAAAUCUCCGGCCUUAACUCGGAAAGGUCAACUGAUACUGUGCGACUAGAGUGCAGAAGGGCAACUGGAAUUCUCGGUGUAGCGGUGAAAUGCGUAGAUAUCGAGAGGAACACCUGCGGCGAAGGCGGGUUGCUGGGCUGACACUGACGCUGAUGCGCGAAAGCCAGGGGAGCGAACGGG
RNAcentral lists this ribosomal RNA (252 nucleotides) under uncultured bacterium. Its description in RNAcentral is "partial 16S ribosomal RNA". It matches the Rfam family "Bacterial small subunit ribosomal RNA", at positions 524 to 776 of the family's 1533-position model. The record is from RNAcentral.